Molecule: ribosomal RNA, 250 nt
Filed under: uncultured bacterium
Lineage: Bacteria
Description: partial 16S ribosomal RNA
Rfam family: Bacterial small subunit ribosomal RNA
Source: RNAcentral
UGAUGGCGAGUGGCGAACGGGUGAGUAACAUAUCGGAACGUGCCCAAUCGUGGGGGAUAACGCAGCGAAAGCUGUGCUAAUACCGCAUACGAUCUACGGAUGAAAGCGGGGGACCUUCGGGCCUCGCGCGAUUGGAGCGGCCGAUAUCAGAUUAGGUAGUUGGUGGGGUAAAGGCUCACCAAGCCAACGAUCUGUAGCUGGUCUGAGAGGACGACCAGCCACACUGGAACUGAGACACGGUCCAGACUCC